GGCCCAUUGGUCAAGUGGUUAAGACACCGCCCUUUCACGGCGGUAACACGGGUUCGAAUCCCGUAUGGGUCA
Transfer RNA from Bacillus manliponensis, 72 nucleotides. It matches the Rfam family "tRNA". From Rfam's summary of the family: Transfer RNA (tRNA) molecules are approximately 80 nucleotides in length. Their secondary structure includes four short double-helical elements and three loops (D, anti-codon, and T loops). Lineage: Bacteria; Bacillati; Bacillota; Bacilli; Caryophanales; Bacillaceae. The record is from Rfam.